RNAcentral lists this long non-coding RNA (1659 nucleotides) under Coturnix japonica (Japanese quail). Its description in RNAcentral is "lncRNA (ENSCJPG00005018657.1)". Lineage: Eukaryota; Metazoa; Chordata; Aves; Galliformes; Phasianidae. The record is from RNAcentral.
CAUAAGUGGUCAGAGCACUUGGUUACAAGAAACUUGGGCUUUCUCUGUACUGAGCUGCAUGAUUUCUGUUUCCCUUCCUCUGAAGCUGUGCCUCCAUUUUAAAGAAUUAUCUCUUCCAUCUGGACUUCUGUUCCCUGAGAUACUCACCAGGGGCUGUCAGCACUGUGAUGGGAAUGCUGGGGAGGCAGUGGAGAAGCUGAAGAGGUGAAGCAAUUUAGGACUCAAUCCAAAGUUUAUCCAAGCCAUCAGGAAGCUUCGUGUUGGUUGUGCAGCCUUCGGCAAAGGCACGGCUCCCCUCGCUGCAACCACAUCUGAGCCACUGCAACAGGCAUUACUUAAUAGCGCUGAGAAGAGAAACAGAAGAAAAUUUCUUUGAAGAUUUACCUGGGCCUGAAAGGGCAGGAGGGGAGAAGACGAAGUGGAAAUAUGGGCAAAUGGAGGAGAACCAUUUGCCACCAUCCAAACAGGUCCUUUUCAACCACUUUUCUGUUGUGUACCUGCUUGUAGCCAGAGCCACUUGGUGCAAGCAGAGGUUAGAGACCUUUGGGGCUAACGCUGAAGUUCCAGCCUUUCUUCUGUUUCUUCUUAAUGUGAUGAAACCUGAGUCUGAAUGGGGAAAGUUCAGUCGUAAUGUGGCCAGCCCUGCGGUGUUGAGCUGAGAAAGUCUGCGGUUAUUAUUUCCUCCUCUGGGGCGUUUGUGGAUGACCAUUGCUGCCCUGAGAGCACCCGCCUGCUUGGCAGCCCCUGCCCAGUCUGCAGCCACUCAGCACGGCGUAUCCCACCCACAGCGAUGCUUUGUGCCAGCACCACCUGGCUGGGGGUUACAGCCCUAGUGCUCAGCACUUGCACCUUUUACCUCCCUGUGCACAAAAGGCCAGGGUGGGCCUCCCUGACCUGAUGUGCCACCGAGGGAGCUUGCUUGUGAGUUUGUACAGUGUGUGGCUAGGAAUCAGCUGUAGCAAUCUGCCCACAGAACUCAAGCAACACCAGAAAAACUCAUUAUUCAAUACCUUAUUUCAUGCUCUGGAAACAAGAGCAACAACCCCAGCCCUUCCUCCCCUUACAGUGGUGCGGUUUCCAUCAGUCUUUUCAACUCCUAAUGAGAUUUAGCACUGGGGAGGGAUGUUUGUGCCAGAAGGACCAAGGCUUCUCAUCAAAAAGACAUUGAAGUGUUCAGAAAAGUUCCUAUAACAUUUGGAUCAAACCCCAUUUCUGUAUGGAAGAACGGAGGUAAUGCCACCUUUGUGAAGGUUUUAGGAGCUGUCUCUCUGCUCCUAUGUCAGGAAUGUGUUUGUGGAAAGUCUGCAAGAUCUUACCAAAUGAACUCAUCAGAGACUCACCCUGUGCCAAAAGACACGUUGCCCCAGGGAUGCUUGCACCAGUUCAUGGCCUCCUUUCCUGCCCCAGCACAGAGAACAACUCCUGCUGAUGGAGCAGAGGCUGCUGUCAGAGAGCUCAGCAGCAUCUCACAAAGCAAAACCCUCUGUGGCUCUGCUCCUCCUGCAGGAAAUUAGAACUGAAGGAGGGAGUGCAGUUUUCUGCAAGCAAACAGAGCUGAAGUGACAGGGAAGUGGCACUGUGACACACACAGCGUGCACCUUACUCUGCUAUUCCCCUGAUGAUCAAUGUUACCGGAGGCAUUUUGCAGAUGAGUGCAGU